RNAcentral lists this ribosomal RNA (116 nucleotides) under Neolamprologus brichardi. Lineage: Eukaryota; Metazoa; Chordata; Actinopteri; Cichliformes; Cichlidae. The record is from RNAcentral.
GCUGACAGUCAUACCACCCUGAGCGUGCCCACUCUCAUCUGAUCUCAGAAGCUUAACAGGGUCUGGCUUGAUUAGUACUUGGGCGGCUGUAGCUCAGGAGUUAGAGCAGGUCAUCU